UUGUGCCAGAAAUCUAGAGAAGACGA
RNAcentral lists this non-coding RNA (26 nucleotides) under Rattus norvegicus (Norway rat). The record is from RNAcentral. Lineage: Eukaryota; Metazoa; Chordata; Mammalia; Rodentia; Muridae.